This 2941-nucleotide long non-coding RNA is filed under the name Heterocephalus glaber (naked mole-rat). RNAcentral describes it as "lncRNA (ENSHGLG00000039846.1)". Lineage: Eukaryota; Metazoa; Chordata; Mammalia; Rodentia; Bathyergidae. The record is from RNAcentral.
GUGGGGAUAGCAAAACCUGGUCAGGACUGUCCUCCAGUUUGCCCGGGACCAGGGUUAUGGUGAAGGCGCUGAGACAAGUAUGAUGCAGCGCAGUGCUCUGGCCCUCUACCAGGGCAUGGGCUUCCGAAAGACAGGCCAUUAUUUUUUAAAUAUAAUCUGGAGGCUAACAAGUAUUCCUAUAUUUCAUUUAUUGUACCAAUUCCCUUCUGCUCAGGAUGGGGGCCUGUGAUCUAUUUCUUUUGUAUUAACAAAAACCUGAUUGAGUCGGCUAUAGUCACAUACUAUGAUAUUUCUGUCUUACAAAGCAUAAAAUCUAAUUGUCCCCACCUGAGUCUGGCAUGUUUGAUGGUAGUUUGCAUGCAGUUGCAGCUCUUCUCCAUUCUGUCUUUGUGGAUUGCCUUGCCUCAUGUUUCUAGUGUCAUGAUAAUGUUGCUUUUAAAGCAACCACAUCACAAUACUAGACACACUUUGUGGGCCAGCAGUUUCUGCUAGGUUUGUCUUGUACCUUGCUGGUCUUAGGACAUCUGCAAAUGUCUUGGGUUGGCUGAAGUGCUGGGGAUGUGGGCAUCAUCCUGUACCACCUGUCUAACUGAGACAAGGUUCAAGGUCCUGAAGAAGAGUCAAAGCAACCCUAGAAAAGAAGCCAGGCUUUUCCAAACCCUGUCUCUAACUCUAGCUACAGCUACAGGGCAAGGGCUUGAGAUUCAGCCCUGUGAAAAGACUUGGGCAGCAAAGUGCUGCAUCUUCUCUAGUCCCCCAGUGGGCAUGCAGAAGGAAGAAGGCAGAUAGGGUUGCAGUAGAGGAUGUUUUCACCAAGAGACCUCGGUGCAUUUGACCCUCAACUGACUGGACCCAGCUGGAUAAUCAAAGUAGGGUGUGUUCCUGUGUGUACAGGAAGAGGGGAUGUUGAGGAAGUGACUGCCCCAGAUCUGACACUAUUGGGACCCAGAUUGGAACCAACCCUGUCCCCAAAGGUUCCACUACACUAGAAUCAUAGCUGCCUUGUCCUGACCAUGUCCUCCCGGAAGCCCCAGAAGAAGGGUGAGUGGGGAUGUGGGUCUGCGCUGAUUUUUACAGGACUGUCUAUGUUCCCAGCUACUUCAUCUCUAACACUAUCAUGCCUGUGGGAGUCUGGAGUUUCUUUCUGAGACCCCCAAUCCCACAGGCUGAUCUUCUGCAGAAAGCAUGAGUCCAACCACACCUCAGCCAAGUUCUUUUAACAUGAAAGCAGUGCUGUAGAUUCUCUCCUAACCUGAUGUAACUUCCUCUCUACUCAAGAGUCAGUGGGAGGACACCAUAAACAAUCACCCCAGCUGACCCUGCCACAGCCCAUUGCACCUACAUGGAGACUCUUAACCACACUCAUGGCAAGAUUCCAAAUGCAAUUUAUUUGUUGCUUAGGACCAAGGACUUCAGCCCCCGUCCCCCAAUCCUGGUCAGCUUGACCUUGGCCUUGAUGUCACCCACAAUCAAGUCUGCCAACCCAUCUCCUCCUUCAGGUUGCCUCCCUGUGCUUCUCUGAACUCAGUCGUUCGGGCAUCUAUCCCACUCCCCCACCAUGCCCCUUCACAGUCGGGGUCUGUUGUCUCCUGAGCUGUCCUGUUAUCUUCUCCUUUAGUGGUGAUGCCCUUAUGACAGGCUAUUGAGAUGGAAGAAGAAAGCCAUAGAGCAUCCUCUAUUUUUUGGUGCUUCCAGUUCUCCAUGCUCAGCAAGGCCAUUACCUCAGGAACAGCUCUGAGUGGGCACAUUGCCAUGGUGGGAAAUGAAAGAGGCCAGGAUGGUUCCUUUGCUUUUGAAGGAGCUUUCAGAGAAAUGGUUAGCAGAGAAAUGGUUUUCCUAACCUCUCACACAUGUGGUCAGGCCCUGCUGGGAUUAGGAGCCAGAGAGGCAGAGAAGCCAAAGAAGAGCCAGCUUGGAAAUUCUUUUACAGUGAUGUUAAUGGGGGCAUCCUGCCCAGGGAGAAAGGGCCCCCCCCCAGUGGUGGAGGCUCCCACCAGCUACUGUUCCUCUGCUUUUAGAACCCACAUGCAGUCCUGCAGCCUGGCUCACUCCUUCUGUAGCCCCUACCUCUCCCCACCUCUGCCAGGUGCUCAUUACCCUCUAUUCUGCUGGAUGUCUUCAAGACCUUUGUUUUUUUGAUCUUGAAUAGUCUCCUCCUUCCAUCCAUAACAUUGUGAACCCAGAAAUUAUAUUUAUCAGGAGAAGAGCAGGGAGGAACGAGUUAGAAAGAUAACCAUGAGCAGGGAGCAAGCCCUGCCUCCUGCUUGUAUUUUCAGUGUUGCUGAAAUUUAGUCCUUUGCAACUCAUAUCAUCUGCACACCAGUUUUCCUGUUGCCCACAUGCCUGUUACAGUCAAGAGUGAACACUGAACUUUAUACCUAAAGAGUAAUAUUAGCAAAGAUUAAUCCUGGACUGUGUACUCCCACAAGCAUCUUGGCAGCCAGCUCCAAGAAGGAAGAGAUUGGCAGUAGUGUCAUGGGCCAGUUGCAUAACAGGGGAGAAAGGGGUCUGCUACUCUCACUGGCUCCUCCCUGCUGAACCUCGUGGAGCAAAUGCACAACUGACCAUUGGGGCUGUUGCAUUUCUUCCUGAAAGACUCGGGGGAGGGGCUCAAAUCUGUGCCAGCCCACACCCUGUAUCUGGCCUUGGGGGAAGGGCCUGACUGGUAAAGAGGAGGGCAAGGGCUAGAGGAAUAUCAAGGGAACAUCACAAAGUAGAACUCCAUAUGACAAGGAAGAAUUUGUGCCUUGAGACACAAGUCCAUAGAAAAAACAAGUUAUCCAGAUCGCUUGGGCAUCACCAGGGUUUGGGGAGAUGUGGAAAUAGGGAAUGAUAGCUGUGUGGGGAUCAGCUUUCUCUUGGGCUUAUGAAAGUGUUUUAGGACAACAUAGAGAGUGCUGGUCAACCUUGUGAAUGUACCGAAUGCUGCAGGCCAUGUGAG